UACAGAGGAGCCAAGCGUUGUCCGGAUUGACUGGGCGUAAAGCGCACGCAGGCGGAUGCGCGCGUGGGGUGUGAAAUCUGGCCGCUUAACGGCCAGGCGCCAUCCCAUACGGCGCGUCUGGAGUGAUGCAGAGGUCGAUGGAAUUGCCGGUGUAGUGGUGAAAUGCGUAGAUAUCUGGAGGAACACCGGUGGCGAAGGCGGCAUCCUGGACCAAUAUUGACGCUGAGGAGCGAAAGCCAGGGGAGCAAACGGG
Molecule: ribosomal RNA, 253 nt
Filed under: uncultured bacterium
Lineage: Bacteria
Description: partial 16S ribosomal RNA
Rfam family: Bacterial small subunit ribosomal RNA
Source: RNAcentral